Molecule: long non-coding RNA, 3247 nt
Organism: Acinonyx jubatus (cheetah)
Lineage: Eukaryota; Metazoa; Chordata; Mammalia; Carnivora; Felidae
Exons: 3
Source: RefSeq, a predicted model, not a curated record
CUCUGGUAUGAACUGUUCUGGGAGAAGAAGCGGAGAGGAGAUUUUAAUGGACUCACUGGGAAACCAGUUCAAAUGAGAGAAAAUAGGUGUUGAUGGUGGCGGGUGAGCGGCUGACGGUCCCGACGCAUUCCGUCUUUUACGGGACAAACCAUGGUGAAAUCCACCUUGCGCCGAGUUACCUGCAUUUUGAGGUCUCCUGGACCUAGGAUGUCGUGAGCGGUGACACAGCCAAACAUGUCCUGGGUUCUCAGCCUUCUUUACAAAAUAAAGACGAUAAGGUCUAUUAUGUGAAGCAAGACAUGCAAAGCUCUUGUCACAGUGCCAGGCACACAGCAGGCACUAAAUAAAUGUUGAAAUAUGAAGACGAUGCUGUCAGUGAUGAUAACACACCAGCUGAAUGCAGCCUGACAGCUUACUCAGCCGCCUUCUCAUACAUUCUGCUGAAACUUGGGGGCUGGUCCUCAGAAUCUGGAAAGGCCCUGCCUCCCCCACGUUCUGGAUGUCAGGUAUUCUUUAACCAAACUGCUUGCCUAUCAUGCAUGCUUUUGUUCCAGCCGUCAUCAGUUCCUACAUCAAAAUAAUCAAAUCGUCACGAGCUUGUGACUGCUGCUUCUGGGAAGGAGCACCUGGCCGCUGUGAAACCAUUACCCGGGGCGUGGGAGAGGAGCUUUUCCGUGGAUGGUAGGACAGCUCUGUGUCCUCUGCAGAAUCUAUCUCCAGCCGAGGCCUGGAAGCGGGGCUGGGAAACCUCAGGGCAGCGUAACUUGUUGCUGCCUCAGAUGGGAAGUCGGGGACAGCGGAGAUCCUUUGGCGGGUCUCCCUCGCUUACAGCCUGAAGCCUCUAGCUCACAAGGAUGCCAAAGCUCAAUGGAAGGCCUUGCCUAGGCUAUUAGGCACCUGCCAUUCCUCCGGGUCACCCUAAGCUUUGAACACUCUGCCUGUAGUCGGAGAGUUCCUUACUUAGGAGCCCUUUGCAAAUGAGAAGUGACAAGUUUUCCUUCUCGGCCUCCUUUGCACGUGACCUGGGCUCCAACACUCCGAUUACGCCCAAGCCGGACUCAGGCUCGUGGCCGGGAGAGACGGGCACUGGGCAGAUCUCAGGCAAGGGCCCGGCCACUACAUCCAGUCUGCGGAGAUGGCCCUGACAACAGCUUAGAGGUGGCACUUGGUGCCCAGCAUCGGGGCACUUUGUUCUCAGAGGUGGCGGCACGGGUGUCUCCAGGAAGCAACUCUGUGACGAUGAUCUUGCUCCGUAGCUGCCCUGAGCCCAGCUGCCCGACCUCUGGAGAUUCUGUGAGCCCCCUGAUGACCUCUGCCUGCUUAAACUGGCCAGAAAGCAAUUCUGCUGUCUGCACCAAGGCACCUGGGUACAGGUGGUAACCCUGAGUGCUACCAGAAAAGGGAGAAACGAUCGCUUGGGUGGGACCUCAGGCAAAUGAGCUUUCAAAGAUCCUCAGCCCGGCAGUCCUUCAAGAAAGCGCCACACAGUUAUGGAAUUGACCUGUCAACAGGGAGGGGCUCUGGCCAACAUCACACUCGAAGGUUCCUCCUCCUCUAGAGACAAUAGUGACCUGUCCACGUGACAGUCCAGCCAAGAAUACUGGGCAGAGGACACGGGAGAGAAAACCUGACUGGUUUUUUUCUUCUUCUUAAUCUACUCCUCCAUUUGGAGGAAAUGAGCUAAAAUAAGUGAACCUUGAAGCGAAGGCUGUGGCCUGGGGUGGGCUUUUGUUCCGGAAUCAGGGGAGCGAAUGCAAAUGAACCCAGAGCUGUCCUUCCCAUUGUGGCCCUGAUCUCUUUGACGUCACACACAUUAGGCAAAUUCCGCCAGCUCAGUCUCCAUCAAUAACCCCCGCGGGGAUGACGCGUCUCCCAAGAGAGAAAAAGGACAAAUUCUCAGGCACGGAUGUUCAUUUCUAGGCUGCGGAACCUCUAAAGUAAUAAAAGGCCAACAAUAAUUAGAAAGUGUUUUUGUAAUACUCUCCUCUCGGAAGACAGUAACACACAAAGGUGCUCGGAGACUCGUGCUAAUGGGAAAAUGGGAUGUUCUGAAAAGAGCCCCUUUGAAUCUGCACUCCCCGGCCAGCUCCCCGGCAGUUGCAGAUGCACAGAUUAAGGGUCUGGCUUUCCAAUUUUCAGAAAAUACAGGGCAAGAACUUUCUGGAUGGAAGUGAGGCUUAAAAAGAAAAAGAGAAGAAAGGCGGUGAAUUAAAAGGAGACACAGACAUUUAUGUUCAUUCUUACUUUUCUCAGUUCCAUAGAGUUUCCUUCCCGAGCAUCAUGAAAUUAGGAUGUUUCCAAAAAAAAUACACGGGCUCUUUGUCCAUUGGGGAAAACUCUACUGCCCUUCUCUGAAUGUCCAAAGGCAAGAACAAUGGGUGAUGGGCAUAUCUCACAGCCUGACCACAAACACAUCAAGUGUGGGCCCCAGGAGCCGGUACAAAGCAAGCCUUUAGUAUACAUCCUAUGAUUGGUUGAGGGAAGGAAGGAUGAAAUAAAUAGCUCUCCAUUCCCCUAACCUGUGGCCUGGCACCCAUUUCCUCUCCACUCCUCCAAAAACCUGGACAUCUACUCAUUCACUCAAUAACUAUUUAUUGAGCCCCCGCUAUGUGCCAGGCACUGUUCUAGGUGUUGGGGUGGGUUACAAGGUGGAUCAGACAGAUGGAAGUCUUGCCCUUCUGGAUCUUAAAUCUUAAUAGGGGAAGCAGGUUAUCAAUAAGACACACGUAAGUUAAAUUAUGUGAGAUCGUGGCAUGUGCUUCGGAGACGGAACGGAACAGAGACGAGGCACAGGAGGUAGCAGGGGAGGGUUGCGACCUCAUUGUCUCUGAAAGCAACUUAAUAUUAGCCGGUUGGACUCAUUUAAGUGCUCCUUCCUCCUGAUGUCUUUGCUGGCCAUCCUGGCCCAUUUAUUGAUGGUGAGCCGACUUCUCAGUGACCCUGUCUACCUAGGGUUUCUCAACAUCGGCAUUACUGACUGACAUUCUGGCGGGCUCGUUCUCGGGUUGUGGGUGUCCUGUGCCUUGUGCGAUGUUUAGCAGCACCCUUGGCCCCUACCCACUCCGUAUCAGUAGUACUUAGACCCCCAGCUGUGACAACUAAAAUGUCUCUGGACGUUGCCGAUGUCCCCUGAGGGGUAAACGUCAUCGUGGUUGAGAAGCAAUGGUCUACCUGGCUGUUCAAACAGUGCCAGUGGGCCAGCAGUAUGAGCACUGCCUGGGGAUGGGCCAGAAGUGCAGAAUCUCAG